Molecule: ribosomal RNA, 482 nt
Filed under: uncultured bacterium
Lineage: Bacteria
Description: partial 16S ribosomal RNA
Rfam family: Bacterial small subunit ribosomal RNA
Source: RNAcentral
GAUGAACGCUCGCGGCAGGCCUAAUACAUGCAAGUCGGACGGGAUUCAGGAGCUUGCUUCUGAUGAGAGUGGCGCACGGGUGCGUAACACGUAUGUAACCUACCUUUAUCAGGGGGAUAGCCUCUCGAAAGAGAGAUUAAGCCCGCAUAAAAUCACAGCACAGCAUUGUGUAAUGAUCAAAUAUUUAUAGGAUAAAGAUGGGCAUGCGGAACAUUAGCUAGAUGGCGGGGUAACGGCCCACCAUGGCGACGAUGUUUAGGGGAUCUGAGAGGAUGGCCCCCCACACUGGUACUGAGACACGGACCAGACUCCUACGGGAGGCAGCAGUAAGGAAGAUUGGUCAAUGGGCGGAAGCCUGAACCAGCCAUGCCGCGUGCAGGAAGACGGCCCUACGGGUUGUAAACUGCUUUUAUACGGGAAUAAACCCAGAUACGUGUAUCUGGCUGAAUGUACUGUAAGAAUAAGGAUCGGCUAACUCCGUG